GCAAAAAGGCAAAGGCAGCACACCAUCUGGAAGUUCUGCAGAUGAUGAUACCUUUUCUUCGUCAUCUGCUCCAAUAACUUUCAAAGAUGUGCGAGCUCAAAGACCUCUGA
This is a microRNA precursor of Gallus gallus (chicken), 110 nucleotides long. NCBI's taxonomy places the organism in Eukaryota, Metazoa, Chordata, Aves, Galliformes, Phasianidae. The record is from Ensembl.